GGGAGAUGGGCGGGGGCAGGGAUCACGUGGAAAAGCCGGGCGGAAACGUGGAUUCUCAGCUUCUGCCCUGUCUUUGUCCGGUCUUCUACCCUGGACGCGGAGCUGCCUUCCCGGGAUGUGGCCUCCGAGCAGAACUCGCUCCGGGCAGGUCGGACUUGGCGUCAGCCCGCAGCUCGACGGCCCCUCUUCGUCCUCCUUUCUGGUCUUGGAUGUCCUGACCCAGUUUCCACGCGGAGCACCCCGUGUCUGGAAGCGGGACUGGACAGGACGCGGGAGACCGGCAAUGACUGCUGGGCCAGGCUGCGACUCAUUGAAGGUGUUUGAGAGCACUAAGUAAAGAGGAACUGAUAUCAGUAGGACUUCCGACUGAAAGGAACAAUCAAACAAAACAAAUAUGUCUAUUUUCACCUCAAUUAUUUAUCAUUGCUUUAAUCUGUAAUAAGAUCAUGUCAGAAUAGACAAUGAGCCGUAUAAAGGAUAGGAAUAAAUAUUGUGAUUGGAGGUGAUAACAUUGCUUUCUUGAGAAACUAAAGAUGAAACAACUAUAAAACUGUUAGAACUAUUGGCAAUUUACUAGUUACUGAUUAAAUAUAUAUGAUUUACAUCAUAAAAUACAUUAUUGGACUAAAA
Long non-coding RNA from Aethalodelphis obliquidens (Pacific white-sided dolphin), 630 nucleotides. RefSeq lists it as uncharacterized. NCBI's taxonomy places the organism in Eukaryota, Metazoa, Chordata, Mammalia, Artiodactyla, Delphinidae. The record is from RefSeq and is a predicted model, not a curated record. The transcript is spliced from 2 exons.